GCCCUCGUAGCUCAGCUGGAUAGAGCGUCCGCCUCCUAAGCGGAAGGCCACGCGUUCGAAUCGCGUCGAGGGUGCCA
Molecule: transfer RNA, 77 nt
Filed under: Oscillibacter sp.
Lineage: Bacteria; Bacillati; Bacillota; Clostridia; Eubacteriales; Oscillospiraceae
Also listed under: 2 other names
Description: tRNA-Arg
Rfam family: tRNA
About the family: Transfer RNA (tRNA) molecules are approximately 80 nucleotides in length. Their secondary structure includes four short double-helical elements and three loops (D, anti-codon, and T loops).
Source: RNAcentral